This 296-nucleotide long non-coding RNA is filed under the name Musa acuminata (dwarf banana). RNAcentral's name for it is "long non-coding RNA (MACU_LNC000105)". Lineage: Eukaryota; Viridiplantae; Streptophyta; Magnoliopsida; Zingiberales; Musaceae. The record is from RNAcentral.
UCGCUCACCGCAGUAGUCGUUGAUGAUGUCGUAGCAGCGGCAUUUGGGCGGGUACGACCUUGUGCAGAUGCAGGUCUUGCAGUUGGGGUCGCAACCUCCGAUCAACUGGUCGGUGCACCGGCACUGCGGCGGGAUCGACUUCGUGCACGAGCAACUGUCGCAGCACGCCCAUGGCUUCUCUCCCCCUACCUCCUCUCCGAUUCCUGCACACACACACACACGCGCGCGUACAUAUAGAGAUAUAGAUCAGCCGGUACACCACAAGAAACAUUGAGAGAUCUGCUUCAAGUACCUUG